CACAAAUGAGGCCUUACUCCCUUUUGUGGGGCGAAGUGCACAAAUAGCCACUUUUAACGCCACUGUCUAAACAGCCUCUGUUCAUAAAAAAGUAGUAGUACUUAAAUAGCAUUAUUUCAAUUAAUAAAUAAUAGGCUAAAUACUUAGAUAGCCGUUAAACUUGGCCCGUUUUGUAAAAUAGUCAUUCAAAUUUAGCGAGUGACAGGAUAGACACUUGAACUUGGCAGAAGUGUGUCUAGUGAACACAUCAUCCUAACAUGGCAACUUGUGUGUUUUGCACUCCACAUUAGCGUGCAAAUAGCUUAAAUUAGGCUUUUUCUUAUCUUUUUUUCCCUAACAAAUUUCAACGUAUCUAUGUUCUACAUUUCAGCAUAUGGGCCCCAUAAUUUCACCUUCCUUCACUACUUUCCUCAGAGUCUUUCAUCUACGCCUUCAUCUAUGGUACCUUUUCUUCAUUUUUGCAAAACCAACUAGGUCAAUACUAUAUCACAAUAAACAUGAAAAGAAAAAAGUAAAUUAAAAAGAAAAAUUAUCGAAGACACCCAAUGAAACAUGAUUGCACAAAUUAAGUUUACGAAGAGAUUUUUAAUGUGCAUACUGUAAAAAUCAAAUCUUAUACCCAACAAAUUGGUAUUUCUAAAAACCCUAACCUUGUAGGUUGUAGCACUCAACAAAUAGGUAUUCAACUUUCAGUUUCGGGCGACGGGAGCUGGGUGUAUGGUGCGACGAAUCUUUUACUGGUGGAUGAAUCAAGCCCGCCGCUCAACUCAAUUUUCCUAGCAUUUAGAAUGCUUUUUUAAGAUCAUUUGGAUUAAAGUUUAUAUUUAGGCAGUAUAAACUAUCUGAUAGCUGAAUUUGAAUUUACGUUGUACUAAGGCAUAAAUAAACUAAGGCAUAAUAUAUAUUGAGAUCUUUCCUAAAC
RNAcentral lists this long non-coding RNA (922 nucleotides) under Nicotiana tabacum (common tobacco). RNAcentral's name for it is "long non-coding RNA (NTAB_LNC017344)". Lineage: Eukaryota; Viridiplantae; Streptophyta; Magnoliopsida; Solanales; Solanaceae. The record is from RNAcentral.